AUCCUGGCUCAGGAUGAACGCUGGCGGCGUGCCUAAUACAUGCAAGUCGAGCGAACAGACAAGGAGCUUGCUCCUUUGACGUUAGCGGCGGACGGGUGAGUAACACGUGGGUAACCUACCUAUAAGACUGGGAUAACUUCGGGAAACCGGAGCUAAUACCGGAUAAUAUUUCGAACCGCAUGGUUCGAUAGUGAAAGAUGGUUUUGCUAUCACUUAUAGAUGGACCCGCGCCGUAUUAGCUAGUUGGUAAGGUAACGGCUUACCAAGGCGACGAUACGUAGCCGACCUGAGAGGGUGAUCGGCCACACUGGAACUGAGACACGGUCCAGACUCCUACGGGAGGCAGCAGUAGGGAAUCUUCCGCAAUGGGCGAAAGCCUGACGGAGCAACGCCGCGUGAGUGAUGAAGGUCUUCGGAUCGUAAAACUCUGUUAUUAGGGAAGAACAUAACAGUGUAAGUAACUAUGCAC
This 469-nucleotide ribosomal RNA is filed under the name Staphylococcus haemolyticus. RNAcentral describes it as "bacterial SSU rRNA". It matches the Rfam family "Bacterial small subunit ribosomal RNA", at positions 16 to 473 of the family's 1533-position model. The record is from RNAcentral. Lineage: Bacteria; Bacillati; Bacillota; Bacilli; Caryophanales; Staphylococcaceae.